AAGCGUUAUCCGGAAUUAUUGGGCGUAAAGCGUCCGCAGGCGGCUGAAAAGUCUGCUGUUAAAGCGUGGAGCUUAACUCCAUCAUGGCAGUGGAAACUGUUGGGCUCGAGUGUGGUAGGGGCAGAGGGAAUUCCGGUGUAGCGGUGAAAUGCAUAGAUAUCGGGAAGAACACCAGUGGCGAAGGCGCUCUGCUGGGCCAUAACUGACGCUCAUGGACGAAAGCCAGGGGAGCGAAAGGGAUUAGAUACCCCUGUAGUCCUGGCCGUAAACGAUGAACACUAGGUGUCGGGGGAAUCGACCCCCUCGGUGUCGUAGCCAACGCGUUAAGUGUUCCGCCUGGGGAGUACGCACGCAAGUGUGAAACUCAAAGGAAUUGACGGGGGCCCGCACAAGCGGUGGAGUAUGUGGUUUAAUUCGAAGCAACGCGCAGAACCUUACCAACCCUUGACAUCCUAGGACAACUCCAGAGAUGGAGCCUUCCUUCGGGACCUAGUGACAGGUGCUGCAUGGCU
RNAcentral lists this ribosomal RNA (512 nucleotides) under uncultured Prochlorococcus sp. RNAcentral's name for it is "bacterial SSU rRNA". It matches the Rfam family "Bacterial small subunit ribosomal RNA", at positions 536 to 1050 of the family's 1533-position model. Lineage: Bacteria; Bacillati; Cyanobacteriota; Cyanophyceae; Synechococcales; Prochlorococcaceae. The record is from RNAcentral.